RNAcentral lists this ribosomal RNA (497 nucleotides) under uncultured bacterium. RNAcentral describes it as "partial 16S ribosomal RNA". It matches the Rfam family "Bacterial small subunit ribosomal RNA", at positions 28 to 507 of the family's 1533-position model. The record is from RNAcentral.
GAUGAACGCUGGCGGCGUGCCUAAUACAUGCAAGUCGAGCGAACGGACGAGAAGCUUGCUUCUCUGAUGUUAGCGGCGGACGGGUGAGUAACACGUGGAUAACCUACCUAUAAGACUGGGAUAACUUCGGGAAACCGGAGCUAAUACCGGAUAAUAUUUUGAACCGCAUGGUUCAAAAGUGAAAGACGGUCUUGCUGUCACUUAUAGAUGGAUCCGCGCUGCAUUAGCUAGUUGGUAAGGUAACGGCUUACCAAGGCAACGAUGCAUAGCCGACCUGAGAGGGGGAUCGGCCACACUGGAACUGAGACACGGUCCAGACUCCUACGGGAGGCAGCAGUAGGGAAUCUUCGGCAAUGGGCGAAAGCCUGACGGAGCAACGCCGCGUGAGUGAUGAAGGUCUUCGGAUCGUAAAACUCUGUUAUUAGGGAAGAACAUAUGUGUAAGUAACUGUGCACAUCUUGACGGUACCUAAUCAGAAAGCCACGGCUAACUACGUG